AUUGAACGCUGGCGGCAUGCCUUACACAUGCAAGGUCGAACGGCAGCACGGGAGCAAUCCUGGUGGCGAGUGGCGAACGGGUGAGUAAUAUAUCGGAACGUGCCCAGUCGUGGGGGAUAACGUAGCGAAAGCUACGCUAAUACCGCAUACGAUCUAUGGAUGAAAGCGGGGGAUCGCAAGACCUCGCGCGAUUGGAGCGGCCGAUAUCAGAUUAAGUAGUUGGUGAGGUAAAGGCUCACCAAGCCGACGAUCUGUAGCUGGUCUGAGAGGACGGCCAGCCACACUGGGACUGAGACACGGCCCAGACUCCUACGGGAGGCAGCAGUGGGGAAUUUUGGACAAUGGGCGCAAGCCUGAUCCAGCAAUGCCGCGUGCAGGAUGAAGGCCUUCGGGUUGUAAACUGCUUUUGUACGGAACGAAACGGUGAGCUCUAAUACAGUUUGCUAAUGACGGUACCGUAAGAAUAAGCACCGGCUAACUACGUG
RNAcentral lists this ribosomal RNA (485 nucleotides) under uncultured bacterium. RNAcentral describes it as "bacterial SSU rRNA". It matches the Rfam family "Bacterial small subunit ribosomal RNA", at positions 30 to 507 of the family's 1533-position model. The record is from RNAcentral.